This 215-nucleotide ribosomal RNA is filed under the name uncultured bacterium. RNAcentral's name for it is "partial 16S ribosomal RNA". It matches the Rfam family "Bacterial small subunit ribosomal RNA", at positions 1278 to 1500 of the family's 1533-position model. The record is from RNAcentral.
AAACCCCGUCUCAGUUCGGAUUGGAGUCUGCAACUCGACUCCAUGAAGCUGGAUUCGCUAGUAAUCGCGCAUCAGCCAUGGCGCGGUGAAUACGUUCCCGGGCCUUGUACACACCGCCCGUCAAGCCAUGGAAGCCGGGGGUGCCUGAAGUGCGUGACCGCAAGGAGCGCCCUAAGGUAAAACCGGUGACUGGGGCUAAGUCGUAACAAGGUAAC